UGCAGUCGAACGAGAAAGUAGCAAUACGAGUAAAGUGGCGGACGGGUGAGUAACGCGUAGGUAAUCUACCUCUUAGCGUGGAAUAACAUUCCGAAAGGAGUGCUAAUACCGCAUAAGGUAGCUCGACGAUGGUUGAGCUAGGAAAGAGGGCGCCCGCAAGGGGCUCUCACUGAGAGAUGAGCUUGCGUCCCAUUAGCUAGUUGGCAGAGUAAUAGCCCACCAAGGCUACGAUGGGUAGCUGGUCUGAGAGGAUGACCAGCCACACUGGAACUGACACACGGUCCAGACUCCUACGGGAGGCAGCAGUGGGGAAUUUUGCGCAAUGGGGGAAACCCUGACGCAGCGACGCCGCGUGGGUGAAGAAGGCCUUCGGGUUGUAAAGCCCUGUCAGCAGGGAAAAAGGAUUUCGUGUUAAUACCACGAAGUUUUGAUGGUACCUGCAGAGGAAGCACCGGCUAACCCUGUGCCAGCAGCCGCGGUAAUACAGGGGGUGCUAGCGUUGUUCGGAAUUACUGGGCGUAAAGGGCGUGUAGGCGGCAUAGCAAGUCAGAUGUGAAAUCCCGGGGCUUAACUCCGGAACUGCAUUUGAAACUGCUAAGCUCGAGUAGAGUAGAGGCUAGCGGAAUUCCCAGUGUAGAGGUGAAAUUCGUAGAUAUUGGGAAGAACACCAGUGGCGAAGGCGGCUAGCUGGGCUCUAACUGACGCUAAAGCGCGAAAGCGUGGGGAUCAAACAGGAUUAGAUACCCUGGUAGUCCACGCUGUAAACGAUUGAUACUCGCUGUGGUUGGUAUUGACCCCGACCGUAGC
RNAcentral lists this ribosomal RNA (807 nucleotides) under uncultured bacterium. Its description in RNAcentral is "bacterial SSU rRNA". It matches the Rfam family "Bacterial small subunit ribosomal RNA", at positions 56 to 847 of the family's 1533-position model. The record is from RNAcentral.